Molecule: long non-coding RNA, 187 nt
Organism: Bufo gargarizans (Asiatic toad)
Lineage: Eukaryota; Metazoa; Chordata; Amphibia; Anura; Bufonidae
Exons: 4
Source: RefSeq, a predicted model, not a curated record
AAUUUGAAGAUAUCAGCGCAAGCACCCACAGCAUCUGGGUUAACCCAUUCUUCACAUAGAAAGGAUAACUCAGAAUUGAACCAAGAAAAUUUUGGGAUGAUGUCAGAAAAUACGAGUACAACACCAUCAAAUAACGCAUUUUCAACUAGAAUGCAACCUGGACCCACAAAUUCAGGUUCUCAAACUG